This 468-nucleotide ribosomal RNA is filed under the name uncultured bacterium. RNAcentral's name for it is "partial 16S ribosomal RNA". It matches the Rfam family "Bacterial small subunit ribosomal RNA", at positions 28 to 507 of the family's 1533-position model. The record is from RNAcentral.
GACGAACGCUGGCGGCGUGCUUAACACAUGCAAGUCGAACGGAAAGGCCCUGCUUUUGCGUGGUGCUCGAUUGCCGAACGCGGGUGUAACACGUGAGUAUCCUGCCCUUGACUGUGGGGUAACUUCUGGGAACUCCGGCUAAUACCGGAUAGGAGCUCCUGCUGCGUGUUGGUGGUUGGAAAGUUUCGGCGGUUCGGGAUGGACUGGCGGCUUAUCAGCUCGUUGGUGGGGUAGUGGCUUACCAAGUCUUUGACGGGUAGCCGACCUGAGAGGGUGACCGGGCACAUUGGGACUGAGAUACGGCCCAGACGGGUACGGGAGGCAGCAGUCGAGAAUAUUGCAGAAUGGGCGGAAGCGUGAUGCAGCAGUGCCGCGAGCGUGAUGACGGCCUUCGGGUGGUAAACAGCUGUCGCCUGAAACGAAGCGUGAGUGACGGUAAUGGGUAAAAAAGCAACGGCUAACUACGUG